CCUACGGGUGGCAGCAGUGAGGAAUAUUGGUCAAUGGACGAGAGUCUGAACCAGCCAAGUCGCGUGAAGGAUGAAUGAUCUAUGGUUUGUAAACUUCUUUUAUAUAGGAAUAAAGUGAGGAACGUGUUCCUUUUUGUAUGUACUUUAUGAAUAAGCAUCGGCUAACUCCGUGCCAGCAGCCGCGGUAAUACGGAGGAUCCGAGCGUUAUCCGGAUUUAUUGGGUUUAAAGGGAGCGUAGAUGGUUAAUUAAGUCAGUGGUGAAAGUUUGAGGCUCAACCAUAAAAUUGCAAUUGAUACUGGUUGUCUUGAGUAUAGUUGAGGUAGGCGGAAUGCGUGGUGUAGCGGUGAAAUGCAUAGAUAUCACGAAGAACCCCGAUUGCGAAGGCAGCUUACUAAACUAUGACUGACAUUGAUGCUCGAAAGUGUGGGUAUCAAACAGGAUUAGAUACCCGGGUAGUC
This 460-nucleotide ribosomal RNA is filed under the name uncultured bacterium. RNAcentral's name for it is "partial 16S ribosomal RNA". It matches the Rfam family "Bacterial small subunit ribosomal RNA", at positions 338 to 795 of the family's 1533-position model. The record is from RNAcentral.